RNAcentral lists this ribosomal RNA (742 nucleotides) under uncultured bacterium. Its description in RNAcentral is "bacterial SSU rRNA". It matches the Rfam family "Bacterial small subunit ribosomal RNA", at positions 8 to 796 of the family's 1533-position model. The record is from RNAcentral.
AGAGUUUGAUCAUGGCUCAGAACGAACGCUGGCGGCAGGCUUAACACAUGCAAGUCGAACGAUGUAGCAAUACAUAGUGGCGCACGGGUGAGUAACGCGUGGGAAUAUACCUUAUAGUGGGGAAUAACUUUGGGAAACUAAAGCUAAUACCGCAUACGCCCGAGAGGGGAAAGAUUUAUCGCUAUAAGAUUAGCCCGCGUGAGAUUAGGUAGUUGGUGGGGUAAUGGCCUACCAAGCCUACGAUCUCUAGCUGGUCUGAGAGGAUGAUCAGCCACACUGGAACUGAGACACGGUCCAGACUCCUACGGGAGGCAGCAGUGGGGAAUAUUGGGCAAUGGAGGAAACUCUGACCCAGCCAUGCCGCGUGAAUGAUGAAGGCCUUAGGGUUGUAAAGUUCUUUCGCCGAUGAAGAUAAUGACGGUAGUCGGAGAAGAAGCCCCGGCUAACUUCGUGCCAGCAGCCGCGGUAAUACGAAGGGGGCUAGCGUUGUUCGGAAUUACCGGGCGUAAAGCGAGCGUAGGUUGCUCGAUAAGUCAGUGGUGAAAGCCCAGAGCUCAACUCUGGAACUGCCAUUGAAACUGUCGAGCUGGAAUCUCAGAGGGGGUAGCGGAAUUCCAAAUGUAGGGGUGAAAUCCGUAGAUAUUUGGAGGAACACCGGUGGCGAAGGCGGCUACCUGGAUGAGUAUUGACACUGAGGCUCGAAAGCGUGGGGAUCAAACAGGAUUAGAUACCCCGGUAGUCC